ACACACACACACACACACACAGGCACGAUUUCACCACAGACCCAAUAAUAAACUUCCCUUUUUAAAUAUUCAUUCCCCUUUCGCUGCACAAAAACAAUCGCAGAAAAACUCAGAUUUUGAUCAACUGCUGAUCGUCACUCGACAGACAGCUGAGAUGGGUGUUGUUCUGGCGGCUGGUACUUUGCUCAUCGCUCUGAUGCAAGAGCCCGAGGUUGCCGCCUGGUUGUUCCCCUUUUAGGACCACAUUGUCAUAUUAUACCCAGGGAGACAUUACAUUGAGGAAUCACAUGGAUCGUGUACAAUAAACAAAUCAAAAACAAACAUUUGUCAAUAAUUCCAAAUAACCUUCUCACAAGUCAAAGCAACCACGAGUCACUUUUAGUAUGAAUAUUUAAAUUCAUUUUAUAGUUGACGAGGCUCUGAAUGGUGUUUAGCAGUGUUUAGUGGCGAGUUACCGUCUCUCCCCAUGUGGUCAUAACCGCUGCCUUCUGUCAUCAACACAUACAGCUUUCAACGUACAAGAAGUAUACAAAUAUUCAAUAUGCAACUCUUAAGAUUAUUAUUUUUUACCUUGUAUUGAUGCAACUUGUUUUUCUUAGUUUUAUUGUAUUUAAAGUUGUUUGUGUGAGAAAUUUUAAUCCAUCGUAAUUUCCUUUGUA
Molecule: long non-coding RNA, 659 nt
Organism: Cyclopterus lumpus (lumpfish)
Lineage: Eukaryota; Metazoa; Chordata; Actinopteri; Perciformes; Cyclopteridae
Exons: 3
Source: RefSeq, a predicted model, not a curated record